RNAcentral lists this ribosomal RNA (376 nucleotides) under uncultured bacterium. RNAcentral's name for it is "bacterial SSU rRNA". It matches the Rfam family "Bacterial small subunit ribosomal RNA", at positions 523 to 898 of the family's 1533-position model. The record is from RNAcentral.
AUACGUAGGGAGCGAGCGUUGUCCGGAUUUACUGGGUGUAAAGGGUGCGUAGGCGGCUCUGCAAGUCAGGUGUGAAAACCAUCGGCUUAACUGAUGGACUGCAUUUGAAACUGUGGGGCUUGAGUGGAGUAGAGGCAGACGGAAUUCCCGGUGUAGCGGUGAAAUGCGUAGAGAUCGGGAAGAACACCAGUGGCGAAGGCGGUCUGCUGGGCUCUAACUGACGCUGAGGCACGAAAGCAUGGGUAGCAAACAGGAUUAGAUACCCUGGUAGUCCAUGCCGUAAACGAUGAUUACUAGGUGUGGGGAGUCUGACCCUCUCCGUGCCGGAGUUAACACAAUAAGUAAUCCACCUGGGAAGUACGACCGCAAGGUUGAA